This 1325-nucleotide long non-coding RNA is filed under the name Vulpes vulpes (red fox). RNAcentral describes it as "lncRNA (ENSVVUG00000025309.1)". Lineage: Eukaryota; Metazoa; Chordata; Mammalia; Carnivora; Canidae. The record is from RNAcentral.
CAUUUCAUUGACAAGUCCUGCGGCGCAGCCAGUGUCAGGGGAGGUGAUGUGCUUGGGGCAGGCAGGAGCAGACUGCUUGUGAAGAGCCCUAGGAACUGCCGCAUGCAGCUAAAGAUUCAUUCUCAGGCAAUAGGAAACUAUUGGAGUAUCUCAGGCAGUGAUAGGCGUGAUUUGGUUCAGGUUUUCACAAGAUACUCAGCAUGCGGAGUGGCGGCUACGGGGAAAAUAUGACGGUGGUGGAGGCCAGGAGGCAGGGAGGCUGCUGGAAGCCUCAGAUGAAGCAGAAACUGGAAAGCGGCUCAGAUCAGACUCAUGCAGUGGCCAGGCCUGAGGGAAAAUUGGCGUCAUCCUCAGGGGUUAUGGCUCAUCACCCUAACAGGGCAGAGGGUGGCCUCAGGCACCCAGCUCUGCAGCUCGGCCAGACACGGGGCAGGCGGCCUUCACCCGGGCCCCACCCUGAGUUCACACGUACGAGAAGGGGGCCUGGGGAGGACGCGGAGCUGCUGCGGGCGUGUGCGCACUGUCACGUAUAUUAAUAGAGUUGAUGUGAAACUGCACUGAAAAAGGAACAACAAAAUGACUCAGUUGCAAAAUUCUUGCAUCAGCUGGUGAGGAGUUGGCCUCGGUCAGCAUCGGAUAUCACUGGAAAUGUCUCAGAUUGAUCACGGGUCCCGGUGAAAAUGUAUACACUCGCCCACCAUGGUGGAUAGGCCUAGAGGCCACCAAGGGUGGAACCCCAGCUCCGGCUGCAGUGAGGGCGCCCGACACCAACACAUGGAGGGAUGAGUCCCUGGGGAGUUUGGCCUGCAGGAUGCCUGGAGGUUGGGACAGAAAGUGAAUUCCUACCAACAACCUCAGUGAGCUUUCUGGGGGUCUCUCAGGCUCAAUGAGCUUUCUGGGGGUCUCUAGACCCCACCUCCCUUUGCUAAGACUCUCCAUCUGAACACACAUCUCUCAACAGAACUUUCAGAAGCAGAGGGGACUUCUCUCUGCAGUGCCCCCAACCUGGAGCAUGGCCAGCCCUGGUAGGAAGGCUUCUGGAGGCCUCUGAGCCAGGUGGAAUAUUCUGCUGAUGCCUGUGAGUGGAGCAGUUCUUCCCCACGCCGAGGAAAAUCCUGUUUACUGGAAUGAAUUCUAUUCUUCGGACUACCCAGAAUGUUCAAACCUCUCUUUUCAAAGAAAAAUGUCCUAAUUGGGAUGCCUGGGUGGCUCAGUGGUUGAACGCCUGCCUUCCGCUCAGGGUGUGAUCUCGGGAUCUGGGAUCAAGUCCCACAUCGGGCUCCCUGCGAGGAGCCUGCAUCUCCCUUCCUCUGCCUAUGUUUCUG